This 478-nucleotide ribosomal RNA is filed under the name uncultured bacterium. RNAcentral describes it as "partial 16S ribosomal RNA". It matches the Rfam family "Bacterial small subunit ribosomal RNA", at positions 28 to 507 of the family's 1533-position model. The record is from RNAcentral.
GAUGAACGCUGGCGGCGUGCUUAACACAUGCAAGUCGAACGAGAAAUGUAGACGGAAACCUUCGGGCGGAAGCCUUCAUUUCGAGUGGCGGACGGGUGAGUAACGCGUGGGUAACCUGCCUCAUACAGGGGGAUAACAGUUGGAAACGACUGUUAAUACCGCAUAAGACCACAGCAUCGCAUGAUGCGGGGGUAAAAACUCCGGUGGUAUGAGAUGGACCCGCGUUCGAUUAGCCAGUUGGCGGGGUAACGGCCCACCAAAGCGACGAUCGAUAGCCGAUCUGAGAGGAUGACCGGCCACAUUGGGACUGAGACACGGCCCAAACUCCUACGGGAGGCAGCAGUGGGGAAUAUUGCACAAUGGGGGAAACCCUGAUGCAGCGACGCCGCGUGAGAGAAGAAGUACUUCGGUAUGUAAAGCUCUAUCAGCAGGGAAGAAAAUGACGGUACCUGAGUAAGAAGCCCCGGCUAACUACGUG